AUAUAUGUAUAUUUGUGCUGUAUAUCAUAAUUUGCUUGUAAUUAUAUUUUUUUCCUUUUCAGUGAUACCAUGGGGAACAAGGGUUCUUUCAUUACCCUUAAUGGGAAAGAUAUGAAACCAAGAUAUACAACGUACCAGGCUGUGCCACACCCACCUGUGAAGCCAAUGGCAUAUGCCAAUUCCAUCCUAAGUUUGUUUAGUUAGGGAACAAUACUCUUUGUAGUCCAUUAGUCCAACAUAGUAUAUGAAUAUGCUGGAAUUGUUAAUUGGUGCAAGCUAGAGGACACAGAAUAAUAUAUCUGCCCAUCUAUUGAGUACAACAUAGGAACCACUCAUGAAAUUUCAGUAGCCUUAUGGUUUAUGUAACUCAGAUACUACAUAAAUACUUACUAAAAUGUAUGCAAAAGCAGGAAACAAGAUAUAACUUCAGACUAUAUACUUUGUAGUACCUCUUUGUGUACCAUCAAAUUAUAUGUAAAAAAGAUGAGGAACUCUG
This is a long non-coding RNA of Penaeus monodon (black tiger shrimp), 496 nucleotides long. RefSeq lists it as uncharacterized. The record is from RefSeq and is a predicted model, not a curated record. NCBI's taxonomy places the organism in Eukaryota, Metazoa, Arthropoda, Malacostraca, Decapoda, Penaeidae. The transcript has 2 exons.